AGGCGUAUGCAAGAGAAGUGUUCCAGGUCACAGUUCUCUGAGACCCAGACUGCUAACUACUGUGCAGCCCCACAUCCCAGAAAGCUCAGAAUAGGGGCAUAGCACGUCUUCAGCCCUGCUGGCACCCUGCUGCUAGCAGUGGCACCAUGGGCAGAUGCCAGCCUAGAGGGAAACCUCCAUGGAUUUGUUGGAUCCUAUGACUGACUUGUAUUUGACUACCAGCAGCAGCAAGGGACCAAUGGGACUACUUUGUGGAUACCUGAAAACCUCGAACCACGAAGGCAUGAGAAUUAUGGUGACACAGAAUGAGGCCAUCUGGUGCUGGUAUAGGAAGAUGGACAAAGAGAUCUGAGAUGAGGAAAAACACAGAUCAAAAAAGAAACCC
Balaenoptera ricei (Rice's whale) is the source of this 385-nucleotide long non-coding RNA. RefSeq lists it as uncharacterized. NCBI's taxonomy places the organism in Eukaryota, Metazoa, Chordata, Mammalia, Artiodactyla, Balaenopteridae. The transcript has 4 exons. The record is from RefSeq and is a predicted model, not a curated record.